CCUCUGGACGCACGAGAUGGAUGGAUUUUUACUGCACAUUACUGGAAAAACAUUGUAGCUUUUCAAUUUCAGGUUGGUCAGUUUUCUUCCCUUCAAAGGGUGCAUGGCGUGAAGUUAUUGCUGAUCUAACCUGGAAGAAUCCCAUAGGCUGUAUAACUGUUACGAGAGCUUGGUGUAAUCUGAUGCAAACCGGAACUAGAUUAGCAGUUCCAAAGAUGAAUGGAGCAGCGGAGUUGCAUAUGAAGGCAAACCAACAAGUUUGCAUCAUAGUUGCCCAGGAAGGUAGGAACUCAUUUGCUGCUGUACUAACCGAACUAUUUGCUUAUAGGCAAUGAGAUUUUGAUCAUGGAAGGAUGCGGCUAUUUUGAUGAGAGUAUAAUGCAGGAGAUCGGUUAUUAGGUCUGACUGUAUUGUAAUGUAGUACUCCCUUCGUCUCAAAAGAAGUUAGUACAAAAUUGAGACACUUAUUUUGGGACGGAGGGAGUACAUUAUUGUGAUUAUUUUGCUUAUGUUGUACACAUCUAGAAUAGGCAACAAUGAGAUGGUCUGUCUGCACGAAGUUUAGUUCAAAAACUACAUGCAAAUGUUAAAAAUUCAGAAUGUUCGGGAGAGAGUAGAACAGAGAAGGGAGAGAAGGAACAACCAAGAUCCAAGCUAUGUGCUACAACUCAAUCACAUAUGGUCUACAAUCUUGGUUACUCGAUGUUCAGAUUAUUGUAAUUUUUGUACCUAAAAGGUCUUAACUAUAUUAAGCAUGUAUAAUUUUCAAAUAUUAAUAGUUAAGUUCUUGAAACCCUAUGAAGCAAUCACCUGUACCCCAUGAUCUUACUAUGCUUCACAUAGCUGAGUUAGCGCUACGUUUUGCAUGCCAUUCUUUGAUGAAUCUUCAUUUGUUGGUCAAUGGUAUCCUGGUCUACAUGGUUACAUUUUGUUGUUUCAAAUAAUAGUGCUUUCCUCAUCAAUGGGUUUUGCUUUAGGUAAUAUAAGACACAUGAUCGAUGUCCAUGAGGGGAGCAGUUCUCAGAUUUCCCAUGGUCAGCAGAACGGCCAGGGUCCUAUUUCUUAGUGGAUAGUUGGUUUCUGGUGGAUCCAAUCACCAUUUCUUGGAAAAUAUUUCCUGAGCAAAUGGUACAAGUGAUCAUGUACCAGUGCUUUCA
RNAcentral lists this long non-coding RNA (1157 nucleotides) under Triticum aestivum (bread wheat). RNAcentral's name for it is "long non-coding RNA (TAES_LNC010030)". Lineage: Eukaryota; Viridiplantae; Streptophyta; Magnoliopsida; Poales; Poaceae. The record is from RNAcentral.